AGGGCACCACCAGGAGUGGAGCCUGCGGCUUAAUUUGACUCAACACGGGAAGACUUACCCGGCCCGGACACUGGAAGGAUUGACAGAUUGAGAGCUCUUUCUUGAUUCAGUGGGUGGUGGUGCAUGGCCGUUCUUAGUUGGUGGAGCGAUUUGUCUGGUUAAUUCCGAUAACGAACGAGACUCUAGCCUACUAAAUAGACCAGAGGCUUCUUAAAACACGUCUCUGGCUGCUUCUUAGAGGGACAGGCGGCGAUUCAGCCGCACGAAACAGAGCAAUAACAGGUCUGUGAUGCCCUUAGAUGUCCGGGGCCGCACGCGCGCUACACUGAAGUGAUCAGCGUGCUUUUUGUACCCUGCUCUGCCAAGAGUGGGUAACCCAAUGAACCUUCUUCGUGAUUGGGAUAGGGGAUUGUAAUUAUUCCCCUUGAACGAGGAAUUCCCAGUAAGCGCGAGUCAUAAGCUCGCGUUGAUUACGUCCCUGCCCUUUGUACACACCGCCCGUCGCUACUACCGAUUGAA
RNAcentral lists this ribosomal RNA (519 nucleotides) under uncultured eukaryote. Its description in RNAcentral is "SSU rRNA". It matches the Rfam family "Eukaryotic small subunit ribosomal RNA", at positions 1161 to 1693 of the family's 1831-position model. The record is from RNAcentral.